Molecule: small RNA, 812 nt
Filed under: Arabidopsis thaliana (thale cress)
Lineage: Eukaryota; Viridiplantae; Streptophyta; Magnoliopsida; Brassicales; Brassicaceae
Description: ATSL209980
Source: RNAcentral
ACCCACUCCAUCUGCGUCAUAUCAACUCCGAAACGAGGCAGCAAACAAAAGAACACAUCAAAAACAAGGCAAGACAACAUCAAAGGGGCUUGGACAUAAAACGGAGAAGCAGGAUUUUAAAGUAAACCGAGAGCAGGAUCGAUGAAACACGAGAAAUGAGAAGACACCUAUGCAGUUUAGCCGUAACAAGCUACACGCUUGAUCAAAGGAGCCAGACGCUCGAAGCUCCAAACACACACACCCGCAACAUUCAGAAAAUACGAGAACCAGACGCCAAACCGAUAUAAUCCGAGCAAAAUCACCGGAUUGAGAGCAGCAAGAGAACCAAGCUCCAAGGAAGCUCUCAGAACUGACGUAAACGCAAAGAGACCUCAACAACCCUCCAAAAAUCUACUUUCGUCGUCACGCAAGUUGGAUCAGAAUGGAAAGAUGCAGCACCACUUGCCUCCAUGCCGUCAAGCUCCGGCGACCAUCACUCACACGCCUGAAGAAACUCGGACCCUGAUGCCAAAUCGAAGAAGAAAGCUGAGAACCUCAGCAACAGUAAGCCUCAUUAAGAGGUAGCCCUUUCGCAGCGCCGGACACUGGAGAGGCAAUCGGAAAAGACGAUGAAAAGCUUUGGUAAAUUUGAGAGAAAAAGUCGUCGCUUAAAGAUAUAUAUCAUUUUUUAAGUUUAAAAUUUAUUAUACUGUUUUUACAUAGAAGUUUAGAAUUUAGUAUUUUAAAGUUAAAGUUAAUUUGCGUAAAUUCGUGGAAAAUAGUAUAAUACAACAUUAUAUUCAUAUAGAUUAUAUGUCGUACAACUUGUUUAU